GCGCCCCGCGCGCCCCGCAUUGACAUGGCCGUCGCCCGAGUCCGCGCGUCCGCCGCGCGCCGGCCGUUAAUGGGCAUGCUCCCUGAGUGCCCCGCACCGAUAUGGCGGCCGUCGUCCCUGGGGUGACUUUAACUCUCGGUUUUCGGUUAUAGCCGGCCGGCGCUCACUUGUCUUGAGGAAGCUCAGAGCCUUUGGUGGAGCCGGGGAGAGGAAGGGUGGGUGCAAGCGUGAAAGGCGAGAGGGGACUGCAGGCAUCCGGGCCGGCUCCUGGCCGGAGCAAGAUGGCUGAGGGCGAGCGGCAGCCGCCACCAGAUUCUUCGGAGGAGGCCCCUCCAGCCACUCAGAACUUCAUCAUUCCAAAAAAGGAGAUCCACACAGUUCCAGACAUGGGCAAAUGGAAGCGUUCUCAGGCAUACGCUGACUACAUCGGAUUCAUCCUUACCCUCAACGAAGGUGUGAAGGGGAAGAAACUGACCUUCGAGUACAAAGUCUCUGAGCUUCCAGGGCAGCCCCUACUGACAGUGGACACCCAGGAAAGCAAGAGCUCCUCUUCUCCUGCAGCCAUUGAGAAACUAGUUGCUCUUCUCAACACGCUGGACAGGUGGAUUGAUGAGACUCCUCCAGUGGACCAGCCCUCUCGGUUUGGGAAUAAGGCAUACAGGACCUGGUAUGCCAAACUUGAUGAGGAAGCAGAAAACUUGGUGGCCACAGUGGUCCCCACCCAUCUGGCAGCUGCUGUGCCUGAGGUAGCUGUUUACCUAAAGGAGUCAGUGGGGAACUCCACGCGCAUUGACUACGGCACAGGGCAUGAGGCAGCCUUUGCUGCUUUCCUCUGCUGUCUCUGCAAGAUUGGGGUGCUCCGGGUGGAUGACCAAAUAGCUAUUGUCUUCAAGGUGUUCAAUCGGUACCUUGAGGUUAUGCGGAAACUCCAGAAAACAUACAGGAUGGAGCCAGCCGGCAGCCAGGGAGUGUGGGGUCUGGAUGACUUCCAGUUUCUGCCCUUCAUCUGGGGCAGUUCACAGCUGAUAGACCACCCAUACCUGGAGCCCAGACACUUUGUGGAUGAGAAGGCGGUGAAUGAGAACCACAAGGACUACAUGUUCCUGGAAUGUAUCCUGUUUAUCACUGAGGUGAGGAGGAGGGGUGAGAGAGAAGCCCAUGGCUGCCUCCAGGCUUAGAUGAACCAAGGAUGGUGGCUUUACAGUGGAUCAGAAGAGCCAGAGCUGCUGCCCAAAAUGGCAGGGCCGGCCGGAGUGGGUUAUUGAAAAGGAAGCACCACUGGGCCUCUCCUGAAAGAGUCAGCCGCUGCUGUCAGGGCCUCUGCCCAGUUCUCCUUCAGUUUCUCCUGAACACCACAGGAAUCUCAAGAUGAGGGUCUAAGACUUGGUCACUAACUGGCCUUAGUGACUGCUGCAGCAGGUCUGAAAGGGUCAGGGUGGGGGAGAUUUGUGGGGGAGGGUCAGCGUCUUUCAGUGGAGCCCCACAAGGGUCUGUAGAACCAUGUGCUUGUGGGUGUGUAAAAUGAAACCACCAGGGGAGAUGGAGCGAACCUCUGGCACAGACAGCUUUUCUGUCGAAAGGACAUGUCUCUGUCAGUGCCUGAGGACGUGGGCCCGAGCAAAGUGCCAGUGUGGGAGUAUGCAGGCCUGGCCUGUCGUGGCAGUCACUGGACAGCCAGCCCCAUGGCUGGGCUCUGGAACUGGAAGUUCUUGUCUUACCAAGGCAGGAUUCCUUAUAGUGGGCCCUGGACCACUUGUGCAAGAUCUCCUAGGGUGUUUGUUAAAAUGCACAUUCCUGGGUCCCCCAUCCCAACUUAUUGCAUCAGAAUCUUAGGGGACAAGAGCUAGGAACCUGCAUCUAAACACACUUGCCAGGUGACUGCACAGGAAAGCUGGGACCCUGUGCUCUCUGGACAUCUCUUCAGGGAGAUGUUAGGACUUUUCAUCCUCCCUGCCAUCCCCGUGCCCCAAUUUCCAAAGGGUGCCCUAGCUCUGCUAUCUGGAGAGGGUUUGAGAGUUCUAUCCCUCCUCAGUUCCUUUCCUGACACCAGCACGGAUGUCUGCUGCCUCAGUGAGGUCCUUAGCAGGCCUGUGGACGCUGGCCAUGGGGGCUGCUGUCUGUCCGGGCUGUGUAUUCCGAGCCCCCGAAGAGGUGGAGAAAGCUGGGUUAUAACCAGCAACCUUGGCUCCAAGCUCUUCCUGGUCAACAUUCGGCUCAGGCUUCUGCCAAACUCCAGGGGCCAGAGGGGAAUGACACAUUUUUUCCAAGUCAGCAAAUGGAGCCGGGCCUGAUGGCUGGGCGGCCACCGCUUCAUUCCCGGAGAUCUGCUGCCCUCAGCAGUGUGGCAGGCCCAAGGUCGGGAGGACUCGGGGGCAGCCUGGCUCACUGCCUUGAAAGCCAGUCACGCGCUGCUCUCUGUGGAGUGGAAUGUGGGGGUCUGUGGAGCCCUGGGGGACCUCAGGAUAAGCUGGAGGAGCAGGGUGGGAAGAAGGGUGCAGAUUCCACACUUGAGCUCUUGCCUGUGACUGAAAGGCUGAGCUGUUUGGGCUCCCCCCGGCGGCUGGCCAGGCCUCUGGGUCCCUGUCUAUAUUCUAACUAGGAGGCAGGCCAGGCCUGGCCUCCAGGAUUUUGGGAAUUGAUUCCAUGGUAAAAGUUUGUGUCUUUAGUUGGUUGGCUGAUGAUGUUGGUAUAAAAACCCCAAAAGCUUUUCCAAAGUUUGGGACCCAGUUCCUCCACUAGAGGAAAUCUCAAAGUAGCCACUAGGUGGCAGGAGAGGCACAUUGAACUUGGAGAGGGUUUGGUUACAUUUAUUUGAGGCCUCAGAAGGAACGGGGAGGGGAGGGCGUGCCUAGAGUUUUUGGCUGUUCCGCACCUUCUCCACAGGGCCGGGUUUUCACUUUGGGUCUAGGCUCUUGGGCAUGGUGUUCAACAGUGGGCGCUAGGAGGAGUGUGCCCAGGAGCUGAGGUGGCUGCAGCAAGGGCCCAUCUUGCCACGUGGCCGCUGGUUGCAGCACAGAUUGUGUUGGUUCUCCAGAGCGCCCACCCUCUUCCACCUCGGAGCAGUGAGCAGCAUUUUGCAGCCCCUAGUUGAUGAAGACUGGCCCAUUUGCAGAGCACUCCAACCAGCUGUGGAACAUCAGCGCUGUCCCUUCCUGGUCCAAAGUGAACCAGGGUCUCAUCCGCAUGUAUAAGGCCGAGUGCCUGGAGAAGUUCCCUGUGAUCCAGCACUUCAAGUUCGGGAGCCUGCUGCCCAUCCAUCCUGUCACGUCGGGCUAGGAGGGGCUGAGCCGAAGAGCCACCCAGGCCACAGUUCCUGUGCCUGCCUUCCCCACCCCAGCAGUGGCCCCUCCCCAUUCCCUCCCUCUGUUCGUCCCGUUUGAUGAGAGGCUGUUUACUGGGGUGAGGUGGUGAGACGGGCUUGAGGGGGCUUGGAGCAUAAGGCUUCAGGGCCCAAGUUGGGAGAAGUGACCAAAGUGUAGCCGGUUUCCUGAGCUCCCCUGUGCUGGACUGACCAGAAGAGAGGGUCUGGGGCCCGGACACUCGGCCACCCUCUCCUCUUCCUGGCCUCUUCUCCCUUUGUUCCUGUCCAGUCUGGUUUUGAGAGCAGGGGCUGUUCUGCAGCA
This is an RNA transcript of Cercocebus atys (sooty mangabey), 3623 nucleotides long. It is a transcript of the gene named protein phosphatase 2A activator, regulatory subunit 4, with no coding region annotated. The transcript is spliced from 11 exons. Lineage: Eukaryota; Metazoa; Chordata; Mammalia; Primates; Cercopithecidae. The record is from RefSeq and is a predicted model, not a curated record.